Molecule: long non-coding RNA, 688 nt
Organism: Coffea arabica (coffee)
Lineage: Eukaryota; Viridiplantae; Streptophyta; Magnoliopsida; Gentianales; Rubiaceae
Source: RefSeq, a predicted model, not a curated record
GCUCGGUUCGCAGCAGCUCAGCUCGGACUGCGUCUUUGGCCGUCGCAUCAGCGGUCGAACUUGACUACGAUAUUGGCAAAUUGGCCACCAAAUCUGUUCAAUGACGGAGAGUUUAUUGUCCUGCGUGGAUAAAAUACUGGGUUCCUGAUUUCGGGAUUAAAGAGAGGAUUGAUCAUAUCCUUUUAGCUCUGGUGGCUGCUGAGCGUGUCCUCGUUCUGAAUACUGUGAGAUCCAAGCUGCUUUUCGUAGUUACUACUACAGAUGAUGCCAAAGAUUCUGUAAAGGAGGAAAUUCGCUUGAGGAUGAGUCUCAGGACCAUAUAAAGAGGUAGCAGCUUCAUGAACUAGCCAUGCUGAACUCAAAUUUUAGAGAAGAGAGUCCAGGACCAAGUGGCAACAUGUCACCUCUCAAUACUAGUGGAAUGAAACGUCCCAAAACUGGGCGUUGAAAUGUUAUAUCUGCUGCUUCAUUGAAGUACUUUCUCUUGACCUCUGAUCUACAGAGUUAUGCCUGAACAUAUACAAUUUGUGGCUAUCAACUCUCCUUAUGGCUCAAUGCGCAGCUACCUAAGUGAAGGAUUGAUAUGAACAGACAAAUGGGUAUUUGGAGAUAUGCGUUUUUUACUGGAUUUUUUUGUUUGUUUUUAAGUUUCUAUUUAUUUACUGAAGAACAUAAAACAGAGAUAGAA